Molecule: ribosomal RNA, 564 nt
Filed under: uncultured Glomeromycotina
Lineage: Eukaryota; Fungi; Glomeromycota
Description: SSU rRNA
Rfam family: Eukaryotic small subunit ribosomal RNA
Source: RNAcentral
UUGGAGGGCAAGUCUGGUGCCAGCAGCCGCGGUAAUUCUAGCUCCAAUAGCGUAUAUUAAAGUUGUUGCAGUUAAAAAGCUCGUAGUUGAAUUUCAGGAUCAAUUUAUUGGUCGUGCUAUUGUACGUACUGGUAUUAUUGAUUCCUACCUUCUGACGAACCACGAUGUCAUUAAUUUGGUGUCAUGGGGAAUCAGGACUGUUAUUUUGAAAAAAUUAGAGUGUUUAAAGCAGGCUCACGCUUGAAUACAUUAGCAUGGAAUAACGAAAUAGGACGUUUGAUUCUAUUUUGUUGGUUUCUAGGAUCGACGUAAUGAUUAAUAGGGAUAGUUGGGGGCAUUAGUAUUCAAUUGUCAGAGGUGAAAUUCUUGGAUUUAUUGAAGACUAACUACUGCGAAAGCAUUUGCCAAGGAUGUUUUCAUUAAUUAAGAACGAAAGUUAGGGGAUCGAAGACGAUCAGAUACCGUCGUAGUCUUAACCAUAAGCUAUGCCGACUAGGGAUCGGAUGAUGUUAAUUUUUUAAUGACUCAUUCGGCGCCUUACGGGAAACCAAAGUGUUUGGGUUC